AUCUCAAUUCUCAUGAUUGAUCAUACCGGUAAGUUAGUAAUUCAUAAAAUAGGAACGGGAAUAUGCGAAGGCACAGGAAGCAACAAGACUCGUACAAGUAAAUUACUUGCAUAAUAGCGGGACAGGGACAAGUAAAGAACAAAGAAAAGGGAAGCUUGGCUGAUAGGAAAGUUCAGCUGCAGCCCAUGGAGAAGAUGGACAAAUUUCAACCAACUACCCGACUCUCCGACAUCCCAUAACAUGGCAUGGCAACUAUCCAGUUGUUCUACUUGACUAAAAGAAAAAGUGAGUAUCCCAGUUUUGCCAGACUAAUUUCCUUGUGUCUGCACUCCACCCAAAGAUACACAAGUGGUGAAGAGGUGACUCGAAUACAUAAUCUCGAAUAUUAGACUACCUCGAAACCAUCCGAUCCAACCCAAGGGGCGCUUGCUUCUUAACUAUUGCUGAUAGUUAAGGGCGCUUGUUCGUGGAUUUACUUUCUUUAUGGGAAUUGGAUUGUGAGUAGAAAGAGGGCCGGUCCUGUCCUGUCCUGUGGUAGGACUGGCAAAGGGCAAUGAAGUGCUUUGGGAUGCGUCCGAAGACAAUAAUUGCAGAAGGCAGAAAAGCAAAGCUGAUGUUUAUGGUUAUGCAAAUGCAAACAGGUGGAGGAGGAAAGCGAGGACCAUCAUUGGUUAUGAAAAGGGUUUUUGUCAAUCAAUCUAUUACUACAAAUCCUUUUCCUCCCA
Non-coding RNA from Coffea arabica (coffee), 725 nucleotides. The record is from RefSeq and is a predicted model, not a curated record. Lineage: Eukaryota; Viridiplantae; Streptophyta; Magnoliopsida; Gentianales; Rubiaceae.